UUGACGAAUCAAAUGAGAAUGAUUAUCUUAACAACCGUGGCGUUUAGCUAACGCCGCAAGCCAUACAGAGAAUGUCAGGUUCCCUGCUAUGGUUUCUCCUCAUCAAGCUAGUCACGGUCUUGACGGCGGCUCCAUCGAGUCGCCGUUUUUUUAU
This 154-nucleotide small RNA is filed under the name Aidingimonas halophila. Its description in RNAcentral is "PrrF RNA". The record is from RNAcentral. Lineage: Bacteria; Pseudomonadati; Pseudomonadota; Gammaproteobacteria; Oceanospirillales; Halomonadaceae.